ACAGCAGCAGCCACGGGAAUACAGAGGGUGCGAGCGUUAAUCGGAUUUACUGGGCGUAAAGCGUGCGUAGGCGGCUUUUUAAGUCGGAUGUGAAAUCCCUGAGCUUAACUUAGGAAUUGCAUUCGAUACUGGGAAGCUAGAGUAUGGGAGAGGAUGGUAGAAUUCCAGGUGUAGCGGUGAAAUGCGUAGAGAUCUGGAGGAAUACCGAUGGCGAAGGCAGCCAUCUGGCCUAAUACUGACGCUGAGGUACGAAAGCAUGGGGAGCAAACAGGAUUAGAUACCCCCGUAGUCCCUGUCUCUUAUAA
This 305-nucleotide ribosomal RNA is filed under the name uncultured bacterium. RNAcentral describes it as "partial 16S ribosomal RNA". It matches the Rfam family "Bacterial small subunit ribosomal RNA", at positions 506 to 809 of the family's 1533-position model. The record is from RNAcentral.